RNAcentral lists this ribosomal RNA (301 nucleotides) under uncultured bacterium. RNAcentral's name for it is "partial 16S ribosomal RNA". It matches the Rfam family "Bacterial small subunit ribosomal RNA", at positions 509 to 807 of the family's 1533-position model. The record is from RNAcentral.
CAGCCGCCGCGGUAAUACGAAGGGUGCAAGCGUUACUCGGAAUUACUGGGCGUAAAGCGUGCGUAGGUGGUGGUUUAAGUCCGUUGUGAAAGCCCUGGGCUCAACCUGGGAAUUGCAGUGGAUACUGGGUCACUAGAGUGUGGUAGAGGAUAGUGGAAUUUCCGGUGUAGCAGUGAAAUGCGUAGAGAUCGGAAGGAACAUCUGUGGCGAAGGCGACUAUCUGGGCCAACACUGACACUGAGGUGCGAAAGCGUGGGGAGCAAACAGGAUUAGAUACCCGAGUAGUCCCUGUCUCUUAUAC